UUAGUUAAAGCCAAAAAGAGGCGUAUCACUGUUAAUGAUAGAACUGAAAUUAUAUUUCUAACUAAG
This 66-nucleotide transfer RNA is filed under the name Caridina multidentata. Its description in RNAcentral is "tRNA-Asn". Lineage: Eukaryota; Metazoa; Arthropoda; Malacostraca; Decapoda; Atyidae. The record is from RNAcentral.